Molecule: ribosomal RNA, 470 nt
Filed under: uncultured bacterium
Lineage: Bacteria
Description: partial 16S ribosomal RNA
Rfam family: Bacterial small subunit ribosomal RNA
Source: RNAcentral
AGGCCGAACGCUGGCGGCGUGCUUCACACAUGCAAGUCGAACGGAAAGGCCCUGCUUUUGUGGGGUGCUCGAGUGGCGAACGGGUGAGUAACACGUGAGUAACCUGCCCUUGACUUUGGGAUAACUUCAGGAAACUGGGGCUAAUACCGGAUAGGAGCUCCUGCUGCAUGGUGGGGGUUGGAAAGUUUCGGCGGUUGGGGAUGGACUCGCGGCUUAUCAGCUUGUUGGUGGGGUAGUGGCUUACCAAGGCUUUGACGGGUAGCCGGCCUGAGAGGGUGACCGGCCACAUUGGGACUGAGAUACGGCCCAGACUCCUACGGGAGGCAGCAGUGGGGAAUAUUGCACAAUGGGCGGAAGCCUGAUGCAGCAACGCCGCGUGCGGGAUGGCGGCCUUCGGGUUGUAAACCGCUUUCGCCUGUGACGAAGCGUGAGUGACGGUAAUGGGUAAAGAAGCACCGGCUAACUACGUG